Molecule: non-coding RNA, 48 nt
Filed under: Schistosoma haematobium
Lineage: Eukaryota; Metazoa; Platyhelminthes; Trematoda; Strigeidida; Schistosomatidae
Source: RNAcentral
AUUCAGGUGACGAGUCCCAAAUAGGACGAAACGUGAGUCGGACUGGUU